GCCCUGGUAGCUUAAUUUGGAUUGAGCACAACGUUGCGGACGUUGAGGUUGCGGGUUCGAGUCCCGCCCAGGGCG
Molecule: transfer RNA, 75 nt
Filed under: Candidatus Daviesbacteria bacterium
Lineage: Bacteria; Candidatus Daviesiibacteriota
Description: tRNA-Arg
Rfam family: tRNA
About the family: Transfer RNA (tRNA) molecules are approximately 80 nucleotides in length. Their secondary structure includes four short double-helical elements and three loops (D, anti-codon, and T loops).
Source: RNAcentral